ACACGUAGCGGCCAAGAUGGCGCUAGCGGUUGGAGCAGGGGCUCUGCUGCGACCUUUACGGUAGUGAGGUUAGGGACGAUGGGAGAGCAGCUUUGUUCCUGAAGUGCCGUCGAGGAUUAGGAUCGAGUUUCUUCGAUCGUGAGGGCAAUUAUUAGUGGCCUCUAGCCCCCCAGAUGGCAUCUUGAGGAGAGAGAAUCCACGCUACGAGAACUAACAUAGUGGACAUCGCAGUUGUCCGUAGCCGAUUUGCGGGUUACGGAGUUGUUGCAAGUAAAGAAGGGGAAAUCCGAGCGUUCUCGCGUUGGAUUUCCUCCACGUGUGAAGUGGGAAUGGUAGUGAUAUCUCGUGCUAUCUCUGUCAAGGGCAAGAAGGAGAAGGAAUUUAUUUGAGGCCCUACGACGUGGUAGGUUCACCCUCAGCCUUUGUUCUUAUUUCAUCUUAUUUGUGGAGAAGGUCUUUUCGUUCCUAUUUUACAGGUGAGAAAAGGGGCCCAAUAUAUAGUUAUUUGCGGCCAUAAAAUAGAAGCCAGUUGCCUGAUACUGAAGAUUCAAUGAAAUCUUGUGAUUGACUUCCCUCUUUAAAUUUUGUACUUUGGGUAACAUCGGAUCCGGUAGAAACGCUCGUCAGAAAGAGUUUUUAAUGUGCAUUCUACAAUUUCCAGACAUAGUUUCCUUCUUGAAAAAUUGGGUUAAUACUACCCUAUAGGGAUCUUGUGAUGCACCACGUAAACGUUGUAAGUUGUGAACCACUAUACAAACGUAUGAGACUCUUCAUGUUCUUGAGUGGAACUGUAGGUUAGGAAGAGAAGGUAAAUAACAGCAUUUAAGUUUCCUACUACUAUUUGCCCAUUAGCUAAAAAUACCCUCCGAGGUCUAGGAAAGUCACUGUUGUUGAAACCCAACCUACACCUUCAGAAAAUCGUAAAGUGGAACAUAUUAAUCACCAGGCCCUCCCUCCGCUGUCUCCCUGACCUUCCUAUGCAUCCAGUUGCUUAAGAACUCUUGGAAAGAUAGUAAGUGAAAUCUUCAUAGAGGAUUUUUGUACUUUAACAUAUAUUAUUUGAUUUGAGCCUCGCAACAUUUCAGUGUGACAGGUACGAUUAAGGUCUUUCAUACUAUGAAUGAGAAAAACAUAGAUGUACCAAGGACUCACCAAAUUUCACGGAGCUAGGAAUUGGAAGAGAGCUAGGCUUUGUAAUCCCAGGUCUUCUGACCUCCAAAUGUCCUUUCCUCUACAGUGAAUGUCAAAAUGACAAUGAAUGUCUACUCCUCUACAAUGGAGUACAAAUCGAAAGACAAGGGGCUUAUAAAACUGACUCUGACCUUAAGAAGUAGCAUAUGAGUGAUGAAUUAUUAUAGUCAAUCCUUGUGCUUACUAAGUGCCACAUACUGGUCUAAGCAUUUUACAUAGUAAUUCAGUCCUUAGAACAACUUUAUGAGGUGGAAACUUUUAUUAUCUCUAAUUACAAAGGAGGCAACUAAAGUCUAGGAAAGAAGCAAAAUAGCUUGCCUAAAGUCACACAUAAGUAAAUGGUGGCUCACGCCUGUAAACCCAGCACUUUGGGAGGCUGAGGCAAGUGGAUCAUUUGAGGUCAGGAGUUCAAGACCAGCCUGGCCAACAUGGUGAAAGCCCACCUCUACUAAAAAUACAAAAAUUAGCUGGGCAUGGUGGCAUGUGCCUGUAAUCCCAGCUACUCGGGAGGCUGAGACAGGAGAAUUGCUUGAACCAGGGAGGUGGAGGUUGCAGUGAGCCAAGAUCGCUCUACUGCAUUCCAGCGUGGGCAACAGAGCAAGACUCCAUCUUAAAAAAAAAAAAAAAAAAAAAAGCUAAAGCUGGGAUUUAAACCUGAUUAUGUUGGCUCCAGAGCCUAUGCUCUAGACCAGUGGUUCUAAACUUUAAUGGUCAAUAGGAACCGCUUGAGGAUCUUGUUAAAACGCAAAUAUUGGUAGUAUAGAUAUCAGGUAAGGCCUGGAUCCUAUAGUCUUAACAGGCCCCCAGGUGAUGUUGAUGGUGCUGGUCAUUACAUACUACAGUUCACAUCUUCCCUUUUCUCCUAACCGUAUUUAUUUUGCAGUCAGAAACUACCUUUCCCAUGCUGCCUGUGACUGCUUUAUAGUCUCAAAUGUUCCCAACAUGCUCUUCCUUAAGGAUUAGACUCAAACUUUUUCCUCAAAAAGCUUAUCCUGCCCCUGUCUUUCCCUCUAGGAUAAGACAGACAUCCCUGCCUCUGCUCCCCUACCACUCAGUGUACACCUUGUUACAGAGCUCAGAACACUGAAUUAUGGCCAUUUAUUUGAAAAUCUUCCUGGCCGGGCAUGGUGGCUCAUGCCUGUAUUCCCAGUACUUUGGGAGGCCGAGGUGGGCUGAUCACUUGAGGUCAGGAGUUCAAGACCAGCUUGGCCAACAUGGUGAAAUCCCGUCUAUACUAAAGAUAGAAAAAUUAGCCGGUCAUGGUGUUGUGCAUCUGUAGUCCUAGGUACUCUACUCGAGAGGCUGAGGCAGGAGAAUCUCUUGAACCCAGGAGGUGGAGGUUGCAGUGAGCUGAGAUUGCGCAACUGCACUUCAGCCUGGGCGACAGAGCAAGACUCUGUCUCAAAAAAAAAGAAAA
RNAcentral lists this long non-coding RNA (2608 nucleotides) under Homo sapiens (human). RNAcentral's name for it is "non-protein coding lnc-THAP12-1:4". Lineage: Eukaryota; Metazoa; Chordata; Mammalia; Primates; Hominidae. The record is from RNAcentral.